GCCUUGGUGCCUUCGGGAACGCUGAGACAGGUGCUGCAUGGCUGUCGUCAGCUCGUGUUGUGAAAUGUUGGGUUAAGUCCCGNAACGAGCGCAACCCUUAUCCUUUGUUGCCAGCGAUUCGGUCGGGAACUCAAAGGAGACUGCCGGUGAUAAACCGGAGGAAGGUGGGGAUGACGUCAAGUCAUCAUGGCCCUUACGAGUAGGGCUACACACGUGCUACAAUGGCGCAUACAAAGAGAAGCGACCUCGCGAGAGCAAGCGGACCUCAUAAAGUGCGUCGUAGUCCGGAUCGGAGUCUGCAACUCGACUCCGUGAAGUCGGAAUCGCUAGUAAUCGUGGAUCAGAAUGCCACGGUGAAUACGUUCCCGGGCCUUGUACACACCGCCCGUCACACCAUGGGAGUGGGUUGCAAAAGAAGUAGGUAGCUUAACCUUCGGGAGGGCGCUUACCACUUUGUGAUUCAUGACUGGGGUGAAGUCGUAACAAGGUAGGCGUAGCGAG
Molecule: ribosomal RNA, 501 nt
Filed under: uncultured bacterium
Lineage: Bacteria
Description: bacterial SSU rRNA
Rfam family: Bacterial small subunit ribosomal RNA
Source: RNAcentral